UACGUAGGGGGCAAGCGUUGUCCGGAAUCAUUGGGCGUAAAGCGCGUGUAGGCGGCCAGUCAAGUCCGCUGUGAAAACUCGAGGCUCAACUUCGAGCUGUCGGUGGAAACUUUCUGGCUAGAGUCCGGAAGAGGAGAAUGGAAUUCCUGGUGUAGCGGUGAAAUGCGCAGAUAUCAGGAAGAACACCCGUGGCGAAGGCGGUUCUCUGGGACGGUACUGACGCUGAGACGCGAAAGCGUGGGGAGCGAACAGG
This 253-nucleotide ribosomal RNA is filed under the name uncultured bacterium. RNAcentral describes it as "partial 16S ribosomal RNA". It matches the Rfam family "Bacterial small subunit ribosomal RNA", at positions 524 to 776 of the family's 1533-position model. The record is from RNAcentral.